AGUGAACGCUGGCGGUAGGCCUAACACAUGCAAGUCGAACGGCAGCACAGUAAGAGCUUGCUCUUACGGGUGGCGAGUGGCGGACGGGUGAGGAAUACAUCGGAAUCUACUUUUUCGUGGGGGGUAACGUAGGGAAACUUACGCUAAUACCGCAUACGACCUACGGGUGAAAGCAGGGGAUCUUCGGACCUUGCGCGAUUGAAUGAGCCGAUGUCGGGUUAGCUAGUUGGCGGGGUAAAGGCCCACCAAGGCGACGAUCCGUAGCUGGUCUGAGAGGAUGAUCAGCCACACUGGAACUGAGACACGGUCCAGACUCCUACGGGAGGCAGCAGUGGGGAAUAUUGGACAAUGGGCGCAAGCCUGAUCCAGCCAUACCGCGUGGGUGAAGAAGGCCUUCGGGUUGUAAAGCCCUUUUGUUGGGAAAGAAAAGCAGCAGGUUAAUACCCCGCUGUUCUGACGGUACCCAAAGAAUAAGCACCGGCUAACUUCGUG
Molecule: ribosomal RNA, 492 nt
Filed under: uncultured bacterium
Lineage: Bacteria
Description: partial 16S ribosomal RNA
Rfam family: Bacterial small subunit ribosomal RNA
Source: RNAcentral